RNAcentral lists this ribosomal RNA (371 nucleotides) under uncultured prokaryote. RNAcentral's name for it is "bacterial SSU rRNA". It matches the Rfam family "Bacterial small subunit ribosomal RNA", at positions 524 to 896 of the family's 1533-position model. The record is from RNAcentral.
UACGGAGGGUGCAAGCGUUAUCCGGAAUCACUGGGUUUAAAGGGUGCGUAGGCGGUCUGAUAAGUCAGUCGUGAAAUCGCUGGGCUCAACCUUUGCAACUGCGAUUGAUACUGUUAGACUUGAAUGAGAUUGAGGCAGGCGGAAUGUGGCAUGUAGCGGUGAAAUGCUUAGAUAUGCCAUAGAACACCAAUUGCGAAGGCAGCCUGCUGGGCCUUUAUUGACGCUGAGGCACGAAAGCGUGGGGAGCAAACAGGAUUAGAUACCCUGGUAGUCCACGCCCUAAACGAUGUUUACUUGCUGUUCCUGGGCAACUGGGAGCGGCGUAGCGAAAGCGAUAAGUAAACCACCUGGGGAGUACGCCGGCAACGGUG